GUUACUCCUUAGGAAUCAA
This 19-nucleotide unclassified non-coding RNA is filed under the name Dictyostelium discoideum. Lineage: Eukaryota; Evosea; Eumycetozoa; Dictyosteliales; Dictyosteliaceae. The record is from RNAcentral.